AUUGAACGCAGGCGGCAUGCCUUACACAUGCAAGUCGAACGGUAACAGGUCUUCGGAUGCUGACGAGUGGCGAACGGGUGAGUAAUACAUCGGAACGUGCCUAGUAGUGGGGGAUAACUACUCGAAAGAGUGGCUAAUACCGCAUGAGAUCUACGGAUGAAAGCAGGGGAUCGCAAGACCUUGUGCUACUAGAGCGGCCGAUGGCAGAUGAGGUAGUUGGUGGGAUAAAAGCUUACCAAGCCGACGAUCUGUAGCUGGUCUGAGAGGACGAUCAGCCACACUGGGACUGAGACACGGCCCAGACUCCUACGGGAGGCAGCAGUGGGGAAUUUUGGACAAUGGGCGCAAGCCUGAUCCAGCAAUGCCGCGUGCAGGAUGAAGGCCUUCGGGUUGUAAACUGCUUUUGUACGGAACGAAAAGCCCCGGGUUAAUACCCUGGGGUCAUGACGGUACCGUAAGAAUAAGCACCGGCUAACUACGUGCCAGCCGCCGCGGUAA
This 498-nucleotide ribosomal RNA is filed under the name uncultured bacterium. Its description in RNAcentral is "partial 16S ribosomal RNA". It matches the Rfam family "Bacterial small subunit ribosomal RNA", at positions 30 to 523 of the family's 1533-position model. The record is from RNAcentral.